RNAcentral lists this non-coding RNA (28 nucleotides) under Mus musculus (house mouse). Lineage: Eukaryota; Metazoa; Chordata; Mammalia; Rodentia; Muridae. The record is from RNAcentral.
UCUUCCCAAACCAAAGCCAUCACGCCUG